Molecule: ribosomal RNA, 468 nt
Filed under: uncultured bacterium
Lineage: Bacteria
Description: partial 16S ribosomal RNA
Rfam family: Bacterial small subunit ribosomal RNA
Source: RNAcentral
GACGAACGCUGGCGGCGUGCUUAACACAUGCAAGUCGAACGGAAAGGCCCUGCUUUUGUGGGGUGCUCGAGUGGCGAACGGGUGAGUAACACGUGAGUAACCUGCCCUUGACUUUGGGAUAACUUCAGGAAACUGGGGCUAAUACCUGAUAGGAGCUCCUGCUGCAUGGUGGGGGUUGGAAAGUUUCGGCGGUUGGGGAUGGACUCGCGGCUUAUCAGCUUGUUGGUGGGGUAGUGGCUUACCAAGGCUUUGACGGGUAGCCGGCCUGAGAGGGUGACCGGCCACAUUGGGACUGAGAUACGGCACAGACGCCUACGGGAGGCAGCAGUGGGGAAUAUUGCACAAUGGGCGGAAGCCUGAUGCAGCAACGCCGCGUGCGGGAUGACGGCCUUCGGGUUGUAAACCGCUUUCGCCUGUGACGAAGCGUGAGUGACGGUAAUGGGUAAAGAAGCACCGGCUAACUACGUG